Molecule: long non-coding RNA, 1043 nt
Filed under: Musa acuminata (dwarf banana)
Lineage: Eukaryota; Viridiplantae; Streptophyta; Magnoliopsida; Zingiberales; Musaceae
Description: long non-coding RNA (MACU_LNC011789)
Source: RNAcentral
CAUAUGGAACAUUUCGAAACAUAUCAAUAGUGGAUAAAACAUUUCAGAGCAUAUCAAUAACAAAUACCGUACAGAAGCUCAAACGUCGUCUUUGACGUUGCAAACAUAUCAAUCUUAUCCAAAGCAUGUACAGAAACACAUAACCAAAGCUCUGGAUAUCAUAUCAAACAUACAGAAGGUGCAGUGGGAUCUCAAACAGAAUUGUGAUUCAUCCAUUUCUGAAUGACCACCAGACAGAAGUCUCCCACGUUUGGGAGCUCCAUCCACCCACGUCUAGGUGAAGUCAGAGGGGGCCGGCAGAGCAUCGUAGGCUCUAAGCACAUACCCUUUACCAUUUCUGGCAAAGGUCCAGACAAUCCCACAACCACCAGAGUACAAGAAGGUAGUUUUAACAAUAAGUAGCAUAUAUCGGAAGCACACGCGGAACAACAAAACGUACAUGUGCCUUUUCGAGACAAUACGAAACAAAGAACAAAUCUCUCACAAAUGUAUUCAGAUUUGGAAUGAAAUGGAAUAGGCACAUAUCGAAAGCAAAUGCGGAACAAUGGGAUACACAUGUGCCUAUGUGAGUCAAUACGAUAUAGCAUAAACGUUACACAAUAGUUUUCAAGAAUGCAAAUAAUUUUAAGAACAAGAGCAUACAAGAAUUCAAAGCAGUAAUAUAAAGCUCAAUUGAAUAAGAAGGCUAAAGGAUAUCAAUUUCCAAAGGAAUGAAACCAGAAUAUGAGAAAUCGACCAAAGCUCGAUCGUCGUCCUUGACGUUGCAAUCAUAUCAUUCUUAUCCAGAGCAUGUACAAAAACACAUAACCAAAGCUCUGGAUAUCAUAUCAAACAUAUAGAUGGUGUAGUGGGACCUCAAACAAAACGUGAUACAUCCAUUUCUGAAUGACCACCAGACAUAAUCUAAAGCAUCGCAGGCUCUAAGCACAUACCCUUUACCAUUUCUGGCAAAGGUCCAGAAUAACACCCUUUACCAUUUCUGGCAAAGGUCCAGACAGUCCCACAAACACCAGAGUACAAAAGGGCAGUAUGAACAAUAAAUA